GGGGACGUAUUGGAAUCGACAGGAAAUAUUACGGGUAGGUAAGCAUGCCGGAGCAAGAUUGUUCACUCCGUUAUUAAAUGAUAAUCAACCAAUUUAGAUGGCAACUAUCAGUAUGCCAUGGCUGCUUAGUACAAGGUACUAAAACGCCAUUAUGCUGUACGCUUGACUCCUGAUAUACAGCGUAUCGCGUAUCACCAAAUUGCAGGAUAGCGAUGUGGAAUGCCUCUACCAUUGAGCGAAACUUCAGAGGAUAAGGUGUAAAAUGGGUGGGUUGCCGAACCUUCCUUACACUCGAAAACUCAACCGGCAACUAAGCAUGUAGAAGGCCUAUGUGUACUUUCUCUGGACGCGGGUUCGACUCCCGCCGUCUCCACAA
RNAcentral lists this transfer-messenger RNA (376 nucleotides) under Saprospiraceae. RNAcentral's name for it is "UBA6168 sp004297645 Standard tmRNA". It matches the Rfam family "transfer-messenger RNA". Rfam says of the family: Bacterial tmRNA, also known as 10Sa RNA or SsrA, is named for its dual tRNA and mRNA-like properties. Its role is to liberate the mRNA from a stalled ribosome. To accomplish this part of the tmRNA is used as a reading frame that ends in a translation stop signal. RNAcentral also lists the same sequence under 1 other name. The record is from RNAcentral. Lineage: Bacteria; Pseudomonadati; Bacteroidota; Saprospiria; Saprospirales.